RNAcentral lists this ribosomal RNA (200 nucleotides) under uncultured bacterium. RNAcentral describes it as "partial 16S ribosomal RNA". It matches the Rfam family "Bacterial small subunit ribosomal RNA", at positions 29 to 223 of the family's 1533-position model. The record is from RNAcentral.
AGUGAACGCUGGCGGUAGGCCUAACACAUGCAAGUCGAACGGCAGCACAGCAGUAGCAAUACUGUGGGUGGCGAGUGGCGGACGGGUGAGGAAUACAUCGGAAUCUACCUUUUCGUGGGGGGAUAACGUAGGGAAACUUACGCUAAUACCGCAUAAGACCUUCGGGUGAAAGUGGGGGACCUUCGGGCCUCACGCGGAUA